RNAcentral lists this ribosomal RNA (264 nucleotides) under uncultured bacterium. Its description in RNAcentral is "partial 16S ribosomal RNA". It matches the Rfam family "Bacterial small subunit ribosomal RNA", at positions 793 to 1055 of the family's 1533-position model. The record is from RNAcentral.
GUCCACGCUGUAAACGAUGGGUGCUAGCUGUUGGGAGGUUACCUCUCAGUAGCGCAGCUAACGCGUUAAGCACCCCGCCUGGGGAGUACGGUCGCAAGAUUAAAACUCAAAGAAAUUGACGGGGACCCGCACAAGCGGUGGAACAUGUGGUUUAAUUCGAGGCAACGCGAAGAACCUUACCAGGAUUUGACAUGCCCCCUAUGGACUCUUGAAAGAGAGUCCUUCACUUCGGGUGGGGGGACACAGGUGCUGCAUGGCUGUCGU